This 253-nucleotide ribosomal RNA is filed under the name uncultured bacterium. RNAcentral describes it as "partial 16S ribosomal RNA". It matches the Rfam family "Bacterial small subunit ribosomal RNA", at positions 524 to 776 of the family's 1533-position model. The record is from RNAcentral.
GACGAACCGUCCAAACGUUAUUCGGAAUCAUUGGGCUUAAAGGGUUCGUAGGCGGUGCGGUAAGUUGGGUGUGAAAUCCCUCGGCUCAACCGGGGAAUGGCGACGAAAACUGUCGUACUCGAGGGAGACAGGGGUAAGCGGAGCUGAUGGUGGAGCGGUGAAAUGCGUUGAUAUCAUCAGGCACACCAGUGGCGAACGCGGCUUACUGGGUCUCUUCUGACGCUGAGGCACGAAAGCUAGGGGAGCAAACGGG